Non-coding RNA from Saimiri boliviensis boliviensis (Bolivian squirrel monkey), 1099 nucleotides. The record is from RefSeq and is a predicted model, not a curated record. NCBI's taxonomy places the organism in Eukaryota, Metazoa, Chordata, Mammalia, Primates, Cebidae.
CCUUCUGCUGCAGCUCCCGAACUCAGGCUCGGUCUCCGACUCGGCCCCCUACGCCCGCUCAGUGUCACUGCCUCUCGCUCUGGGAAAAUGGCGUCGACGGCGGCGGCGGCGGCCGCGGCGGCGGCGGCGGCGGCGGCGGCGGCAAGUGCACGGGGCCCGCCCGUCCCGCUCCGCAGGGGCAGAGGGGGAGGGGAUGAAGCUGCCCGGCGCCAUUUUGCUUGUGGGCUGCCGCCCGCCGUUGCCUCUCCGCGGAGGCUCGAAGAUAGCAAACUGGAGGCGGUGAGGGGGACGGAAUCUCUUGUCUUUCUGCAACAGAUGCAACUCAACAAUCCACGGAAGGUUUGAGAAAGUGUCGGUGUUCGGUGGGAUUGGUUCUUUCCCCCUUCCCCCCAAUGGCCCUCAAGUCUGGAUAUAGGUGAGCUUGGGCAUGCCUCUAUUGGGUGCACGGACAAGGACACAGGGCCUGGGAACGACCUCCCUCCCGUCACCCUCCGAAAGUGAUACACUUUCUCCCCCUCCCAAACAACCCCAGCCCCGGCUCCGCGUCUCUCUCCCUCUCCUCCCCCAGCCCAGUCUGGCCUCAGCGCUAGGUGAACCCGGUUGGGGUGUCACUCGACGCCCACUAGGGGCCGAGGAGGCUCCAGUGCGCAGGCUCCGGGCACCGGAUAAAAGCGGAGCUGGCGACUCCAGCGCUGUCUCUAUGGAGGAGCGAGAAACGGAAGAGGUCGGGGGGACAAGCAGCAGGAAAAAUGCAGCCACCGUCAGCGCCGCCUCCUUGCCACCGUAUUUCGGGGUAAAAAGCUGCCGUUGCCGUCGGUGCAGUUGCCGUCGCUGCCUCCUAUACUUCUCUUGGUCUCGGGGAAGGAUUUCCCCACCGGUGGGACAUUGUGCGGGGAGGGGAGUGGGAAUUACUGUACGUGGCGGUGAUUAAACGAGGGAGGGACAGAGACAGUGAUCUCGAAGAAAAAAGGGGGAAACCAAAAAAUAAAGGGUUUCCCCACUAAAGUGACACGGCUAUUACGGCUCUUGUUUUCGGGGUCUUUCCCCGAAAUGGUUUCCGUCUUCCCCUUGCCCCGCAGCGACCCGGAGCGCGGGGGGA